This 328-nucleotide long non-coding RNA is filed under the name Pan troglodytes (chimpanzee). RNAcentral describes it as "lincRNA". The record is from RNAcentral. Lineage: Eukaryota; Metazoa; Chordata; Mammalia; Primates; Hominidae.
GAAAUCCCACUUCCAGCUGGAUGUCUGGAUGAACUACUGAAAGCUGCUGAGUGUCUUGCAGCAGCUUGACUACCACACAAAUUAAUCCAUUCAAAUGUUGGCAAGUGGAGCAGAGUCCCAGGACAGGUACAGAAACACCCCAGUUCAAGGAUCUUCACACCUGGAUUUUAGGCCUACACCUGCAACUACCCCAGAACCUGGAAUUUAUAUGUUCAAGAUGGAGCCAUCUCAGCCAUGACAACAGAGAAUGUACCACUCUCCAUGGGGUAAUAUUGAGUUCCAGAAGGCAAAGAUUAACAUUCAGAAAAAUAGGAAAAACAACCUGCAG